This 193-nucleotide long non-coding RNA is filed under the name Pan troglodytes (chimpanzee). Its description in RNAcentral is "lncRNA (ENSPTRG00000053640.1)". Lineage: Eukaryota; Metazoa; Chordata; Mammalia; Primates; Hominidae. The record is from RNAcentral.
GCUCUUCAUCAGCUCAUUUAUGGAAGGUCAUCCAUUUAUUGAGACCAGCCCAAAAGACCCUCAGGAACUUAGAAGACUCCUGCCGACUUUGAAGACCAUAGCCCCAAAGCAGGGCUGUGAAAUGGAGCAGCAAAGAAGAGAAGCAUUGUCAAAGCUCAAGUUCCAUCAGAAUGACAAAGUAAUGGAGACUUGA